RNAcentral lists this ribosomal RNA (499 nucleotides) under uncultured bacterium. RNAcentral describes it as "bacterial SSU rRNA". It matches the Rfam family "Bacterial small subunit ribosomal RNA", at positions 29 to 526 of the family's 1533-position model. The record is from RNAcentral.
AUUGAACGCUGGCGGUAUGCCUUACACAUGCAAGUCGAACGAUAGAGGAGCAAUCCUUGAGAGUGGCGAACGGGUGAGUAAUACAUCGGAACGUGCCCAGUCGUGGGGGAUAACGUAGCGAAAGCUACGCUAAUACCGCAUGAGACCUGAGGGUGAAAGCGGGGGACCUGAGAGGGCCUCGCGCGAUUGGAGCGGCCGAUGGCAGAUUAGGUAGUUGGUGGGGUAAAGGCCUACCAAGCCUGCGAUCUGUAGCUGGUCUGAGAGGACGACCAGCCACACUGGGACUGAGACACGGCCCAGACUCCUACGGGAGGCAGCAGUGGGGAAUUUUGGACAAUGGGCGAAAGCCUGAUCCAGCCAUACCGCGUGUGGGAAGAAGGCCUUCGGGUUGUAAACCACUUUUGUCAGGGAAGAAAUGCUCUGGGCUAAUAACCUGGGGAGAUGACGGUACCUGAAGAAUAAGCACCGGCUAACUACGUGCCAGCCGCCGCAGUAAAAC